UAAGUGUUAGAGGGUUUCCGCCCUUUAGUGCUGCAGCUAACGCAUUAAGCACUCCGCCUGGGGAGUACGGUCGCAAGACUGAAACUCAAAGGAAUUGACGGGGGCCCGCACAAGCGGUGGAGCAUGUGGUUUAAUUCGAAGCAACGCGAAGAACCUUACCAAAUCUUGACAUCCUUUGACAACUCUAGAGAUAGAGCCUUCCCCUUCGGGGGACAAAGUGACAGGCGGUGCCUGGUUGUCGUCAGCUCGUGUCGUGAGAU
RNAcentral lists this ribosomal RNA (260 nucleotides) under Vibrio cholerae O1. RNAcentral describes it as "partial 16S ribosomal RNA". It matches the Rfam family "Bacterial small subunit ribosomal RNA", at positions 817 to 1073 of the family's 1533-position model. The record is from RNAcentral. Lineage: Bacteria; Pseudomonadati; Pseudomonadota; Gammaproteobacteria; Vibrionales; Vibrionaceae.